RNAcentral lists this ribosomal RNA (570 nucleotides) under uncultured organism. Its description in RNAcentral is "bacterial SSU rRNA". It matches the Rfam family "Bacterial small subunit ribosomal RNA", at positions 341 to 911 of the family's 1533-position model. The record is from RNAcentral.
ACGGGAGGCAGCAGUGAGGAAUAUUGGUCAAUGGGCGAGAGCCUGAACCAGCCAAGUAGCGUGCAGGAUGACGGCCCUAUGGGUUGUAAACUGCUUUUAUAGGGGAAUAAAGUGAGCCACGUGUGGUUUUUUGCAUGUACCCUAUGAAUAAGGACCGGCUAAUUCCGUGCCAGCAGCCGCGGUAAUACGGAAGGUCCGGGCGUUAUCCGGAUUUAUUGGGUUCAAAGGGAGCGUAGGCCGGAGAUUAAGCGUGUUGUGAAAUGUAGAUGCUCAACAUCUGAACUGCAGCGCGAACUGGUUUCCUUGAGUACGCAUAAAGUGGGCGGAAUUCGUGGUGUAGCGGUGAAAUGCUUAGAUAUCACGAAGAACUCCGAUUGCGAAGGCAGCUCACUGGGGCGCAACUGACGCUGAAGCUCGAAAGCGCGGGUAUCGAACAGGAUUAGAUACCCUGGUAGUCCGCGCGGUAAACGAUGGAUGCCCGCUGUUGGGUCAACUGGUUCAGCGGCCAAGCGAAAGCAUUAAGCAUCCCACCUGGGGAGUACGCCGGCAACGGUGCAACUCAAAUGAAUU